Molecule: ribosomal RNA, 330 nt
Filed under: Triticum aestivum (bread wheat)
Lineage: Eukaryota; Viridiplantae; Streptophyta; Magnoliopsida; Poales; Poaceae
Description: partial small subunit ribosomal RNA
Source: RNAcentral
AUGGACGCGGUGGGCCAAGCCUCGCUCGCGGCGCCAUCCCCUCGGCCGGAGACGGCCGGAGCCGGCAAGGACAGACGCCGGCCGAGCCAGCUCCGCCUCUCCUCUGUCCUCGGUCGGGCGCGAGGAAGAAGCCAGGCGAGAAGAGAGAGAGAGAGAAAGAGAUGGAUAAGGCGGGCCCCACUCGUCAGCCGAUCAGCGCCACGGCCUCCCACUGCCACACUGGAUAAGUGGAGAUGUACUCCAGGGAGUAGGCCUACGCUAACUGAAAGCGCAUUUUGUUUCUUAUUCGAGCCAAAAUACGCUUUCCGUUCUGGAAAACGUAUUUCCUGA